GUGAGGAAUAUUGGACAAUGGGCGCAAGCCUGAUCCAGCCAUGCCGCGUGCAGGAAGACGCAUCUAUGGUGUGUAAACUGCUUUUGUACGGGAAGAAACACUCCCUCGUGAGGGAGCUUGACGGUACCGUAAGAAUAAGGAUCGGCUAACUCCGUGCCAGCAGCCGCGGUAAUACGGAGGAUCCAAGCGUUAUCCGGCAUCAUUGGGUUUAAAGGGUCCGUAGGCGGUUUAAUAAGUCAGUGGUGAAAGACCAUCGCUCAACGAUGGAACGGCAAUUGAUACUGUUAGACUUGAAUUACAAGGAAGUAACUAGAAUAUGUAGUGUAGCGGUGAAAUGCUUAGAUAUUACAUGGAAUACCAAUUGCGAAGGCAGGUUACUACUUGUGGAUUGACGCUGAUGGACGAAAGCGUGGGGAGCGAACAGGAUUAGAAACCCGAGUAGUCC
This 445-nucleotide ribosomal RNA is filed under the name uncultured bacterium. RNAcentral describes it as "partial 16S ribosomal RNA". It matches the Rfam family "Bacterial small subunit ribosomal RNA", at positions 354 to 796 of the family's 1533-position model. The record is from RNAcentral.